Kogia breviceps (pygmy sperm whale) is the source of this 512-nucleotide non-coding RNA. The record is from RefSeq and is a predicted model, not a curated record. Lineage: Eukaryota; Metazoa; Chordata; Mammalia; Artiodactyla; Physeteridae.
GCGCCAGGAGCAGAGACCCGUGAUUGAGCUCUUCCCUGUUGAUUAAAAGGGGAGUGCGGACCAAGGUCAAAACUUGGAGCUGGAUAUACUGAUAUCAGGUGUGGACCCAAAGGAACCACUCCACGUGCCUCUUCUUGAACGGUCUUGCAACAGACUGAUUUCACCUUAUAUAUUUGUUCAUCGAUUAUUUGUAGGAUUGAGAAUAAUCUCUGGGUAAUUUCCCUUAUAGCAGAAAAUGAGUGGAGAGAAUGAAUGACCAAGGUAAAGAAACUGAUGAUGAGGGAGAUUAAAUAAUGUGCUCAAGGACAUACAAGGUACACGGCAGAGCUGGGAUUUCCUUCAGCCGUCAAACUUUAUGUCCUAAGCCUUAAUCAUUAUGUUCCUGGAUAUCCAGUACUUCACAACACAGAAACUAACCCUGGUAGGAAAAGGAUAAGCUCUCAAGGAAGACAAGACCUGGGCCAAGGAAGACUGAGGGGAGAUGGCAACACACAGAGAAACGACAGCUGCAG